RNAcentral lists this ribosomal RNA (460 nucleotides) under uncultured bacterium. RNAcentral describes it as "partial 16S ribosomal RNA". It matches the Rfam family "Bacterial small subunit ribosomal RNA", at positions 338 to 795 of the family's 1533-position model. The record is from RNAcentral.
CCUACGGGUGGCAGCAGUGAGGAAUAUUGGUCAAUGGCCGAGAGGCUGAACCAGCCAAGUCGCGUGAGGGAAGACGGCCCUACGGGUUGUAAACCUCUUUUGUCGGGGAGCAAAGAGAGUCACGUGUGACUCAUUGAGAGUACCCGAAGAAAAAGCAUCGGCUAACUCCGUGCCAGCAGCCGCGGUAAUACGGAGGUGGCAAGCGUUGUCCGGAUUUACUGGGUGUAAAGGGCGUGUAGCCGGGCCGGCAAGUCAGAUGUGAAAUCCCAAGGCUCAACCUUGGAACUGCAUUUGAAACUGUUGGUCUUGAGUAUCGGAGAGGCAGGCGGAAUUCCUAGUGUAGCGGUGAAAUGCGUAGAUAUUAGGAGGAACACCAGUGGCGAAGGCGGCCUGCUGGACGACAACUGACGGUGAGGCGCGAAAGCGUGGGGAGCAAACAGGAUUAGAUACCCCAGUAGUC